GCGCCCUUAGCUCAGCUGGACAGAGCAUCGGAUUUCUAAUCCGUUGGUCGGGGGUUCGAGUCCCUCAGGGCGCGCCA
Molecule: transfer RNA, 77 nt
Filed under: Acetobacteraceae bacterium
Lineage: Bacteria; Pseudomonadati; Pseudomonadota; Alphaproteobacteria; Acetobacterales; Acetobacteraceae
Description: tRNA-Arg
Rfam family: tRNA
About the family: Transfer RNA (tRNA) molecules are approximately 80 nucleotides in length. Their secondary structure includes four short double-helical elements and three loops (D, anti-codon, and T loops).
Source: RNAcentral